CGCACACUCCGGCACACUCACGCAAACGGAAAACAUACACACGUAUAUAUAUAUAUAUACUCACAAAGGAGCCGCUGGCAGGCUCAUUGGCACACGCGAUACAUAUAUAUAUAUAUAUCCGUCCACGCUGCUUUUUGCUGUUGCUGUUCCCCACCUACACACACACAUACACCACACGCGAUCCUUCGCUAAGCUCCACAACGAUACUCUCCCCCUCCAUCCAUAUCCACCUCGCUGCUCCUGUUUAAAGACGAUCAUUACCCCUCCGCUGCCAGGUGCACAUACUACAUCCGGCACACUGCCCACCAAGGCAGGUAAGUGCCCCAGGGCAUCGGCAGCUAUCCGUACACAUGCACCUGCAGAGCUCUCGUCUGUCCAGCGGUGCGACGGCACCGAAGCAGCUUCACCGUGACGUGCCUUCACCUGGUCGCCCUGUCAAAACAAGGAUGCGCUGCCGUUUUGCAGUGCUGAAGUAUUUCCUCCUGCGUGUCGAUGUCUCCGUGUCUAUCGUCUACCUCCUCAUACUCCUCUGCGUCGCCGUGCCCAUUGUCGUCGUGUCGCAGGUCUACCUCACGCGCAUGCUGGUCGCCUCGUGGCGUACCGUGCACAACACGCGCGUGUACUACAUCACGGAGCGCAUCUCCAUCAGCACCAUAAGCGUGCGCGACAUCGCGAACGGCUUCAUGGCACUCAACAUACCGGGUGGGGGCAGCUACGGCGACCACGACCUCAUGGAGAACCUCUGCUCCUCGCUCGACAACUACGACAAGCUGACGCGCUUCCGCGCACUCUCUUUGGUGUCUCUCGAGACCGAGAGCGCCAUAAGCUGUAUCCAUGGCAUUCCCACCAUGGACUCCAUGCGCACCCUUACCGGCUACUUCUCGCACGACAACAUUAUCAACGGCACCUAUCUCAUCGAUAGCGAGACGUACGACUUCGUGCAACCACCGCAGAUGGUGACGGAGUGGCCGGAGUCGGCGCGUGACAUCUCCGCUGCCAAGACGACAACGUACAGCGGCGUGCCCAUCCUUGAGCUGCUGCCUGCCUACCUCGAUGGCAGUGUCGACAGCGUCGACUCGCGCCACCACUGGAUCCUCCCCACAAUCAUGCCGCACAUCAUCUGCUACAUCCUCCCGGUCGGCUACCUCGCCCGCGGUCGAACGGAUAUAAGCAGCGUGCGCUACACCGACUUCACGCAGGUGCUACUCGACGGCUCCCGCAUGCUGCUGGACUACGACUUUGUGGAGGCGCCGGGGCUCGCCAUGGCCGCCUUCAUCAACCAGAGCCUCGCCGACGAUGAUCCGCUCGUGCUCUCCAACAGCUGGGGUCAACCCUCCGUCAGUAACGACAGCAUCUACUCCAUUUUCACGACAGUGCCAGUGACCUACCUUAAGGCGAGCAACAUCAGUGACCCGCUCAUGCGCGCCGCCCUGCAGCACGUCGACCUCGCGGCACUGCAGCACGAGGGCUACAGACGCUCCGUCGACUUCGAGUACGCCGGCGCCGCCGCUGUCGUCACAGCGUAUGCGUACACCACCGCGCAGGGUCUCGUUGUGCCAUUGGUGGUCGCCAGCAGCCACGCCGCCAUCACGACACCUUACCUGUUCCUCAUGCGCAUCUUUGACGGCAUCUUAGUCGCCGUGAUCCUCUUGCUCACUGGGGCCUCCUUCAACAGUGCGCGCUGCCUGAUCUCGCAGCCGCUGCGGCGCAUAACGGCGCUCAUGCUGGCGAGUAUGAGUGCUGGUCGGCGCGCGCUCUUCUACACCACAACUAGCAACACGCUGCUUCAAUUAACAGAGGUGCACGCGCUCAUCAAGGCACACAAUGCCGCGAUGCAGCAGCUGCGCGAGAUCGACGCCUUCGUGCCUGAUGAACUACGUGCCGAGGGCAGAGCACAACGCGCCUACAGCAGCGUAUCCAAUAUAGCGUCCUCCAUGGGCAUCUCAAACGGCCGCAAAGUCACGAAAUUCGGAAGUCGCUGUCUUGACACGCACCUCUCCACAGCUGUGUUUGUGACCAUUCGAGCUCCAGCAGCGCUCUCCAGCAGUUCAGCAGUCCUGCCGCGAACCCCGUCACCACCUCCCAUCCUAGCCGAACAGGGCGAGCAAAAGCCCCUGCGCGGCCAGCGCCUGGUGAGCGUUGUAAAGCACGCAGCACAGGCAGCGAACACCGCCAACAGCGGCCCCUUCCCCACACCAGCCGCACUGACAGCAUUCAUCACCGCCGUGCACGAGCUGUGCCACACGCACCACGGCACGCUGCAUCGCCUCUGCCCCGACGCGUGCGUGCUGCACUUCAACAGCGCGGUGCGCGCACACCUCCCGCGUGGGCCUGGAGACGCUAGCGCGGCGGCGGCACCAGCAGCGGCGCCCCCUGCACCCGCUGCGCGGCAUGGUGUCCCCGCUGCACAGUCGGCACCGCAGCCGAGGCCACCGCGUGCCACGCGGCAGGAAGAGAUGAGGCUCCGCGCCGCGCAGGACGCACGCAACGCCGCUGCCUUCGCACUGGACCUGGUGAACUGGACUGCCGCGCAGAGCGGCAGCGGCGAAAACGCACAAAGGGACGGCACGGCGGCCAUGCCUGACGUGCGCGCGCUGCUGGACACGAGCAUGUUCACGUGCGGGCAGUACCGCCCCGCCGGCAGCGAGCAGACGCUGCAGGUGGCGCUUGGCCGCGACGUGCAGCGCGAUCUGGGCCGCGUGCCGCAGCGCAUCGGCGUGCGCGUGGCCAUGACGGAGGAGACGGCGACGCUGCUGCGCGCGGAGGACGAUAGCGGCAGCCGGGGCCGCGGCAAUAUGGACGCCGGCGUGCGGCAGAUCCCGGUGGAUGUGCUGCGCACGGGCCGUGCGGGGCUGGACGGCGAUGUGGUGGUGCUGUACGAGGCUCUGCCCGGGCGCGUGGCCGGCGACGCGGCGUGGCAGCUGUACGCACGCUGCUGCUGCGGCGGCUUCGAGCACAUGCUGCGCGGCGACUACGCUGGCGCGCUGGCCGCCUACCGCGGCGUCGCCGAGAUCGCGGACCUGGAGCCCGGGCUGCUGCCGGCAGCCAUGCGUCGCGAGGCGGCUGCCAGCGCCGUGACGGGUGGUGCCGUGUCGGUGCAGGUGGCGCGGCUGAUGCGCGAGUGCGAGCGCCGCGUGCGACUGCGGAUCACGGAGCCGCUGUGCACUGCCAUCUCCAGUCUCCUCGGUGUCGAUCAGGUGCUGAGUAAGUGGGCCCUUGAAGAUGUGCCGGAAGGCAGUCAUCCCGAUUGCGCACAGGAGGCACUAGUGGAAGCGGAGAAAAGCAUCGCGGAUGGGCGACUGAGGCGGAGCUCUAGGAGGAGCGCGCAGAGCUUCGGAGAACUCGCGAAGUAUCCAGAGGUCCGCCACCGUUGCGUCGUGCACUUUCAGGAGAGGCAGGUUACUCUCCGGUGCGUGCUGCCCUCGGCGCCCAGGUGGAUUCGUGACCAUAUCGGGUUGUGCUGGCAUCUUUCCCGCAGCCAUGGAACCGAUGAAGCGACCCCAGUCUGGAGCGGCAUGCAGAUGGCCCUUGGCUCCGCCGGCUUCAUCGCAUCCGUGAGCUUUUCUACAUUCCGCGAUCUUCAUCCGGUCGUGGCGAAAGCCAUUCGCGAUGCACCACCGGGUCCUAUGUCGGACGCACUGCGCAGCGCCACGCCUGUAUGUGGUCCCUCUCCAGAACAGGAGGCGUUCAUGAAAGCCACCCUUCUCAAGCACCAGCACCUCCGCCAUCCCAACAUUGUCUCCCUUAUCGGCUACUCGCACUCGCUCGAGGGAGGGGUGGUGCUGAUCUGGGAGUUCAGCCCCGGUGGCACGCUGCGAGAACUGCUGAAUCGGUACGGACGGCUGCCGGCAAUAACAACAAUUCGGUUUGGGCUGCACGCCUUGUCUGCGCUGUCUUUCCUUCACGAGAACAACAUCGCUCACGGCAACCUCAACCUUGACACUGUCAUGGUCGAUUCGGACGGAAGCUGUCGCUUAGUGGGUCUGUACACGCAUGAGCGGCUUCCCUUCGCGCUUCCUCAGACCCACUACAUAAGCCCCCUGAUGGCCACUGGUGCGCUGCCAACGCCCGCCUGCGAUGUGUUCUGCUACGGUCUCGGGGCUCUAGAAGGGCUCACUCUGCAGCCCUGCUGGAGGUGGGCAACGAAGGAAGACGGAGAGCCAUACGGCGCCGCCUCGGAGUUGCUGGACCUCAUGAAGAACGGUGGGCACGCGUUCUGUGAUGCGGUGGUGCAGGGACGCGUGGUGGCGAAUGCAGAAGCGUUUGACACGCCGCUGUUCGCCGAGAAAUACAGUGAGCUUGCACGGAGCACGCUGCGCAGCUGCGUCUCCCACACCCCAUCCGAUCGGCCGACGGCGGUGGAGGUACGCAAUAUCGUCAAGAUACUUCUUAGCGAAGGUGGGCUGGCCUGCGAAGAGGACGAGGUCUGAGAAACGGUGGAAGAUCCUUUUCGCUCUUCUCCCUCGCACCCCUUGGCGAGCACCGUACAAGGUCAACUGGCUCGGUUCUCGUUCAGUCUGUAUCGGUGUGUGUGGGUGUGUGGGUGUUUUCGAACUUCUGAUGAUCAGGAUGGCGAACGGGAAUGCCACUGGCACUGUUCUUUGUCGCCGCGUUCCACGUGCUGUUUACCGGGGGGAGAGCCUCCCGCACAGUGAUGCAUCGCCCUUACUCUUUUCUCUGUUUGGUCUUCGCUGCUCAGCCCCCCUCCCUACGCCCGCGCUGAUGUCUGAACUAGCGCAUGUCUAGCCUUCUGCAUGCCCGAGCGCUUGCCCGUGCUUUUUGAUGCUGUGUUAUGAGUGUUCUCUUGUGGCUCAUUGUGUUUGUUUCGCUGCGUGUUGUCGCUGCUGCUGCUGCCUGAAAAGUACGAGGCGGAGACGCAGCAGCGCGGGUGGGAGCGGGUGCUCUUGGAUGCGCAGAGAAUGGGGAUGGGGAUGAGAAAGUUGAGGAGGAAAGGCAGCUGUAUACAUUCCGGAAAAUGUUUCCUCUGUACUAGUCCCCCCCCCUCUGCCUCUGUCGCUCUUCGUUGAUCUCGGCAGCGCGGCUUGGCUGCUACCCGUACGAGCAGCGCCUUGCGUGUCCUUUGGUCUUUCAACCCCAUCCCUUCUUUCCGUUCCGGCGCAUCUUUGGACUGGAUUGGACUCGGUCACACCAACAUACAUCGAUGCAAGCGCGCAGGAAGGCUGAGCUGCCCCCCCUCUGUGCCUACUCUAGUGAUCCCUUUGUUUCUUCUCCUUUUUGCUGUUUGUUUGUUUGAGUCUUCGCCCGGCUUGGUGCCACAUUCCCUGAUGUGUGUGACACCUCUGUUGUACCUCUCUCUGGCGUGGCGUACAUAUACCCCUCUGGUCGGCAUUGUGCAUCCUCCCUUGCGCGCGCGAACGCUCACACAGAGACGCCCGGGAACGUAGGAUGGUGGUCUGGAUGCACGCCUCUUACGCGUCUAUCUCUCUUCUUGCACACCGCGUGUGGUCCUCGUUUCAUCUGUGUUCAAGUGUGCUAGCUGCUCAGCUCAUGUCGACCGUCGGCAGGCAUGCCUUCCACCUUCCCCUCUCUUCUCGUCUCCGAUAUAUACAUAUAUAUAUAUAUGUGCAUAUAUGCCUGGUCAACGUAUUCUCCCUUCGCGUUUCGAUUUUACCCACGUCCCCACCCUCCCCCACACCCCUUCUCUCUCUCGUUUUGCGUUUUUGUGUUAGCGUUGUCGUUGUGACUCAUUUGCCUCCGACUUGCGGCCGCGUCCACUGCACUUGUUCUACUGUGUGCCUCCGCCUUUGAAUAGCUUCCGGCGGCAUCGUGGCAGUGUGUUCCCACCGGACGCGACGGCCCCAGCCUUAGUUUCUUCUAUAACAUCCACAAACCCCUCUCUACACGCCGUUCAGCAUUCCGAAGAUGCGACUUCUGUUUACAACUUCCCACCCCCACUCCCUUCCCCCUUUUAUGUGUGAACCCUUUUUUUCUGAUUCUUCUCCAUCGGUGGUUGCCCCACAUCACUGUAUUCUUCUGCAUUCCGCUUCUCCACCUCUUCAUGAUGUGUGCGCAUUUUUUACCCCCCCCCCUCACACCCUCCUUGUCUUCUCCUGUCGACCGAAGUAUGUACCGUCGGCAAACGUUCGCGACGCCUAAAGGACCACCCUCCUCCCUCAUCAUCCCCUUCCUUCUCUUGCCUGUAUGAGUGGACCCCGCGAAUGUGUUUCUGAGCCCAUCAGCACAUAAGCAUACACAUUUUUCUUUCUGCUCUUCACAAGCGCAUUGCUCUGCUGCGGCACUCGCGCACAAGGCGAAAAAAAAAAGGGGGCGUUGAGGUUUUGCAAGUAAAGGGUUCUUUGAGGAGCGCACUGAAUAUGCUCCAUUAUGUUGGCCUACGCCCCCCUCCCAUCCGCGCGUCCAACUCUUCUUUGCUUCUCAUUUCUCUGUGCUGACCUUCACUCG
This 6423-nucleotide unclassified non-coding RNA is filed under the name Leishmania donovani. RNAcentral describes it as "gene:LdHU3.31.3280(CDS-product:protein_kinase_put ative)". The record is from RNAcentral. Lineage: Eukaryota; Euglenozoa; Kinetoplastea; Trypanosomatida; Trypanosomatidae.